CCUAUCAUGAAUAAUUUCUUUUCCUCAGCAUGAACUGGGAGAUUUGCCUCACAACCACUGCCACCAGAACUGUACUUACUGAUAUCAUGCCAGGGUAGAUGUGUUUUUGUGGCUGGACCAGGAGUUCCUAUAGUUCCUAUUUGUCUAUAGCAAAAUACACAGUAAGCAGUCCCCACCUCUGCACUCGCACGACGAAGGCGAGGCCCGAGGCACCGCUGUUACCUCGGGAGCGGCAGACAGAGCCGCUCGGCAGGCCCAGGCCGAGGGGCAGAGGAGGCGCGCUCGCCGCUGCGGGCUGCUGGAGCCAGAAAGGACUUCGAGUCCGAGGUCGUGAAAACAGUAAUAAAUACUAAACCAGGAAGGCAAGUAAACCUCCUGCAGUAAACAGGAGGCAGGUAGUGACAGAGGUACUGACAUUCCACUCGGGUCCCA
Molecule: long non-coding RNA, 432 nt
Organism: Pezoporus flaviventris
Lineage: Eukaryota; Metazoa; Chordata; Aves; Psittaciformes; Psittacidae
Exons: 3
Source: RefSeq, a predicted model, not a curated record